RNAcentral lists this transfer RNA (85 nucleotides) under Sulfurihydrogenibium sp. RNAcentral describes it as "tRNA-Leu". It matches the Rfam family "tRNA". Rfam says of the family: Transfer RNA (tRNA) molecules are approximately 80 nucleotides in length. Their secondary structure includes four short double-helical elements and three loops (D, anti-codon, and T loops). Further hydrogen bonds mediate the characteristic L-shaped molecular structure. tRNAs have two regions of fundamental functional importance: the anti-codon, which is responsible for specific mRNA codon recognition, and the 3' end, to which the tRNAs corresponding amino acid is attached (by aminoacyl-tRNA synthetases). tRNAs cope with the degeneracy of the genetic code in two manners: having more than one tRNA (with a specific anti-codon) for a particular amino acid; and 'wobble' base-pairing, i.e. permitting non-standard base-pairing at the 3rd anti-codon position. Lineage: Bacteria; Pseudomonadati; Aquificota; Aquificia; Aquificales; Hydrogenothermaceae. The record is from RNAcentral.
GGGCUUGUGGUGGAACGGUAUACACGUUAGUCUUAGAAACUAAUGCCUUUUAGGAUUGAGAGUUCAAGUCUCUCCAGGCCCACCA